Molecule: ribosomal RNA, 164 nt
Filed under: Tetramolopium lepidotum
Lineage: Eukaryota; Viridiplantae; Streptophyta; Magnoliopsida; Asterales; Asteraceae
Description: 5.8S ribosomal RNA
Rfam family: 5.8S ribosomal RNA
About the family: 5.8S ribosomal RNA (5.8S rRNA) is a component of the large subunit of the eukaryotic ribosome.
Source: RNAcentral
CAAACGACUCUCGGCAACGGAUAUCUCGGCUCACGCAUCGAUGAAGAACGUAGCAAAAUGCGAUACUUGGUGUGAAUUGCAGAAUCCCGUGAACCAUCGAGUUUUUGAACGCAAGUYGCGCCCGAVGCCAUUCGGCCGAGGGCACGUCUGCCUGGGCGUCACGC